Oncorhynchus tshawytscha (Chinook salmon) is the source of this 472-nucleotide long non-coding RNA. The record is from Ensembl. NCBI's taxonomy places the organism in Eukaryota, Metazoa, Chordata, Actinopteri, Salmoniformes, Salmonidae.
GGAGGUAUAGAGGUAAGUGACUGUAGGUGGAGGUAAAGAGGUAUGGGACUGUAGAUGGAGGUAGAGAGGUAUAGGACUGGAGGUGGAGGUAAAGAGGUAUGUGACUGUAGGUGGAGGUAAAGAGGUAUGGGACUGUAGGUGGAGGUAAAGAGGUAUGCGACUGGAGGUGGAGGUAUGGGACUGUAGGUGGAGGUAUAGAGGUAUACAGGUGGAGGUAAAGAGGUAUGUGACUGUAGGUGGAGGUAUAGAGGUAUGGGACUGGAGGUGGAGGUAUAGAGGUAAGUGAAUGUAGGUGAAGGUAUGGGACUGUAGGUGGAGGUAUAGAGGUAUGGGACUGUAGGUGGAGGUAAAGAGGUAUGGGACUGUAGGUGGAGGUAAAGAUGUAUGGGACUGUAGGUGGAGUUAUGUUACUGUAGGUGGAGGUAAAGAUGUAUGGGACUGUAGGUGGAGGUAAAGAGGUAUGUGACUGUAG